CCUGGGCCCCAUGGGUCAUGUGUACGCCACUGAUGCUAGCAGAUUGCUUGUAUAUGGAGAGGUAUUAGCAGUAGCAAGAGAGAAGUGCUCAUGCCAUUGUACAGAACACUGGUGAGACCUCACUUGGAGUAUUGUACACAGUACUGGAGACCUUAUCUCCAGAAGGAUGUUGAUACUUUAGAGAGAGUUCAGAGAAGGGCUACUAAACUGGUUCAUGGAUUGCAGGAUAAAACUUACCAGGAAAGGUUAAAGGAUCUUAACAUGUAUAGCUUUGAGGAAAGACGAGACAGGGGGGAUAUGAUAGAAACAUUUAAAUACAUAAAGGGAAUCAACACAGUAAAGGAGGAGACCAUAUUUAGAAGAAGAAAAACUACCACAACAAAAGGACAGUCUUAAAUUAGAGGGGCAAAGGUUUAAAAAUAAUAUCAGGAAGUAUUACUUUA
RNAcentral lists this long non-coding RNA (443 nucleotides) under Pelobates cultripes (western spadefoot toad). The record is from RNAcentral. Lineage: Eukaryota; Metazoa; Chordata; Amphibia; Anura; Pelobatidae.